RNAcentral lists this ribosomal RNA (721 nucleotides) under uncultured bacterium. Its description in RNAcentral is "bacterial SSU rRNA". It matches the Rfam family "Bacterial small subunit ribosomal RNA", at positions 82 to 801 of the family's 1533-position model. The record is from RNAcentral.
AGGCCGAUGGCGACCGGCGCACGGGUGAGUAACACGUAUCCAACCUGCCGUCUACUCUUGGACAGCCUUCUGAAAGGAAGAUUAAUACAAGAUGGCAUCAUGAGUCCGCAUGUUCACAUGAUUAAAGGUAUUCCGGUAGACGAUGGGGAUGCGUUCCAUUAGAUAGUAGGCGGGGUAACGGCCCACCUAGUCUUCGAUGGAUAGGGGUUCUGAGAGGAAGGUCCCCCACAUUGGAACUGAGACACGGUCCAAACUCCUACGGGAGGCAGCAGUGAGGAAUAUUGGUCAAUGGACGAGAGUCUGAACCAGCCAAGUAGCGUGAAGGAUGACUGCCCUAUGGGUUGUAAACUUCUUUUAUACGGGAAUAAAGUGAGCCACGUGUGGCUUUUUGUAUGUACCGUAUGAAUAAGGAUCGGCUAACUCCGUGCCAGCAGCCGCGGUAAUACGGAGGAUCCGAGCGUUAUCCGGAUUUAUUGGGUUUAAAGGGAGCGUAGGCGGGUUGUUAAGUCAGUUGUGAAAGUUUGCGGCUCAACCGUAAAAUUGCAGUUGAUACUGGCGACCUUGAGUGCAACAGAGGUAGGCGGAAUUCGUGGUGUAGCGGUGAAAUGCUUAGAUAUCACGAAGAACUCCGAUUGCGAAGGCAGCUUACUGGAUUGUAACUGACGCUGAUGCUCGAAAGUGUGGGUAUCAAACAGGAUUAGAUACCCUGGUAGUCCACACA